AGUGGGGAAUUUUGGACAAUGGGGGCAACCCUGAUCCAGCCAUGCCGCGUGCGGGAAGAAGGCCUUCGGGUUGUAAACCGCUUUUGUCAGGGAAGAAACGCUCUGAGCUAAUACCUCGGGGUAAUGACGGUACCUGAAGAAUAAGCACCGGCUAACUACGUGCCAGCAGCCGCGGUAAUACGUAGGGUGCAAGCGUUAAUCGGAAUUACUGGGCGUAAAGCGUGCGCAGGCGGUCUUGCAAGACAGAUGUGAAAUCCCCGGGCUCAACCUGGGAACUGCAUUUGUGACUGCAAGGCUGGAGUGCGGCAGAGGGGGAUGGAAUUCCGCGUGUAGCAGUGAAAUGCGUAGAUAUGCGGAGGAACACCGAUGGCGAAGGCAAUCCCCUGGGCCUGCACUGACGCUCAUGCACGAAAGCGUGGGGAGCAAA
This 427-nucleotide ribosomal RNA is filed under the name uncultured Comamonas sp. Its description in RNAcentral is "bacterial SSU rRNA". It matches the Rfam family "Bacterial small subunit ribosomal RNA", at positions 353 to 772 of the family's 1533-position model. The record is from RNAcentral. Lineage: Bacteria; Pseudomonadati; Pseudomonadota; Betaproteobacteria; Burkholderiales; Comamonadaceae.